GUUGUGCGUUAAGAGAUGCCCUUCUGCACACCACUGUUUUAAACAGCUGUUAUUUGAGUAUGUGUGGCCUUUCUGUUAGCUUGAAUGAGUCUGGGCAUUCUCCUCUGAUCUCUCUCAUUAACAAGGUGUUUUUGCCCACAGAACUGCCGCUCACUGAAUGUGUUUUGUUUAUCGCACCAUUCUCUGUAAACUCUAGAGACUGUAGUGUGUUAAAAUCCCAGGAGGGCAGCUGUUUCUGAGAUGCUGGAACCACCAUGUGUGGCACCAACAAUCAUACCACAGUCAAAGUUACUUAGAUUACGCAUCUCGCCCGUUCUAAUGUUGGGUCGAACAACAACUAAAACUCUCUACUCUAUAUACUCUAUAUAUUGAGUUGCAGGCAGCCACUUGAACCGCUGUUCGAAGAAGCAGAAUAUUUGCGUUAACAAAGUGGCCACAGGUGUAUGUAUGCAGGCCCUUGUAAUUGCUUUUCCAAUACUGCCAACUCGUUACUGAUGAUUGAUUUCACAUUGUGGUACGAGUAUAUAGUGAAAUGAGUGGUAUCCACCUACAACAACAUAGCGAUAACAUGGAGCCGGCAGGUGAUCCAGGUCACAAUAGAGGUCAAGCAGUGGGAGGAGGAAGACGAGGAAGACGUGGUGGUCAAAGGAAUGGCAGGGGGCAAGCACCCCAUCUGAGAGGUGGUCGGGGGCCUCGUUUGAGAGGUGUGGGGGAACGUGGUAGAGGACAAGGCCACGGACCAAGACAGCGGCAGCACCAGCAAAGAGUGUCCAAUGAAAUCUGAGCAAUGGUUGUACACCACGUCAUAAAUCAUGGCAUGACAAUGACUGAGGCAGCUACAAUGAUUCAACCAAAUCUCAGAAGAUCAACCGUGGCCUCAAUCAUCAGAACUUUCCGCAGUGAGAACCGAAUUGAGACUUGGCCAAAUAGGGGAGGCAGAGGCAAAAUUCUGACUGACCAACAAGAGCAGGCUGUGGUCAAUUUGGUUUGGGCCAGAAAUGAUAUUCCCCUUACAGAAAUUCGGCAGCACAUCUUGGACAAUGACGACAUGUUCAACAAUGUGGAAGCC
This 1069-nucleotide long non-coding RNA is filed under the name Salmo salar (Atlantic salmon). RNAcentral describes it as "lncRNA (ENSSSAG00000107319.1)". The record is from RNAcentral. Lineage: Eukaryota; Metazoa; Chordata; Actinopteri; Salmoniformes; Salmonidae.